RNAcentral lists this ribosomal RNA (774 nucleotides) under uncultured bacterium. RNAcentral describes it as "bacterial SSU rRNA". It matches the Rfam family "Bacterial small subunit ribosomal RNA", at positions 59 to 793 of the family's 1533-position model. The record is from RNAcentral.
CAGUCGAGCGAGCUUGCCUAGAUGAUUUUAGUGCUUGCACUAAAUGAAACUAGAUACAAGCGAGCGGCGGACGGGUGAGUAACACGUGGGUAACCUGCCCAAGAGACUGGGAUAACACCUGGAAACAGAUGCUAAUACCGGAUAACAACACUAGACGCAUGUCUAGAGUUUGAAAGAUGGUUCUGCUAUCACUCUUGGAUGGACCUGCGGUGCAUUAGCUAGUUGGUAAGGUAACGGCUUACCAAGGCAAUGAUGCAUAGCCGAGUUGAGAGACUGAUCGGCCACAUUGGGACUGAGACACGGCCCAAACUCCUACGGGAGGCAGCAGUAGGGAAUCUUCCACAAUGGACGAAAGUCUGAUGGAGCAACGCCGCGUGAGUGAAGAAGGGUUUCGGCUCGUGAAGCUCUGUUGGUAGUGAAGAAAGAUAGAGGUAGUAACUGGCCUUUAUUUGACGGUAAUUACUUAGAAAGUCACGGCUAACUACGUGCCAGCAGCCGCGGUAAUACGUAGGUGGCAAGCGUUGUCCGGAUUUAUUGGGCGUAAAGCGAGUGCAGGCGGUUCAAUAAGUCUGAUGUGAAAGCCUUCGGCUCAACCGGAGAAUUGCAUCAGAAACUGUUGAACUUGAGUGCAGAAGAGGAGAGUGGAACUCCAUGUGUAGCGGUGGAAUGCGUAGAUAUAUGGAAGAACACCAGUGGCGAAGGCGGCUCUCUGGUCUGCAACUGACGCUGAAGCUCGAAAGCAUGGGUAGCGAACAGGAUUAGAUACCCUGGUAG